UUAAUUGCAGCUGUAGCUAUCUGUUUUAACUUUUGUGUAUCUUUCUCUGUGGUUGUGCUGGUGUUCUGCUUUUCUUGAGAAAUAAUAAACCCAGAUAUGUUUCAAGAUUUGAAGGUGUUUUCUUUGAGAAUCCUAGAUCUUUUCUGAGCAAGAAAAGUAAAUAUCUUUGAGAAAAAAGUUACCUUUUUUCAAAGUAAAAGGAAAAACUAGUGGUUAAAGUAGAGGACUUGGGAUUCACAAUACGAGUGAUUGAGAAAAGUUACUGUAUCUGGGUUUUGAGACCUCACCAGUUUCAAACUCUUUCUUGUGGAUGUUCUGGCAUUCACUUUUCUGGGAUUCAAGCUCAGCUUUUUGAGAUUCCCAGGGAAUCUCUUGGGAUUUGGAAUUAAUUUGGAAUUGUGGGGAUUUUAGCCGUUAAACAAAGCCAAUGACGGUCAAGUCCAUUUCAACAAUGACAGCCUGUUGUGUCGGUUUUACAGGGUUUUUCCUUCUGUUCUUAUCCCCACUCUCUUUGCCCUUUCUGAAAUCCAAGUCUCAAGAAGAAUCUGAAUUGUCUGAUACAUACUUGAUUUAUAAUUUUUUAUUUUUUUUGGUUCAUAUCUUUUGUAGUUUGAAAUCAUCAAGGGUAUUUGAGAAGUGGGUCUAAUGCCAAAUUGGUUCUGGGUUGCUUCAAUGGGUUGAUGCUUAUUGACAAUGCGCUUGUUCUGGUGGCAACAGUUGCCUCUGCUUAUACUCAUUCAGAUUUUACAACCCAGCAGAACAAGUUACAAAAUAUAUGGUACUCUCUCUCUACUCUCUAGUCUUACUUGUUACAAUGCAAUUCACAAUAAGUAGCAAACUCAUCCUCCAUACUGUUGUUGCUUUGAAUAUGCACAUGGUGAUUGGAAUUGUCUUGUAUUUAGGCUUUGUAGAGCCAAAAAUUUGGAGUUUCCCAGAUUCAAAGGUUCAAAAUAUAUGAGUCUGGUUAGAACACUUGCCAGGUUUUCCUUUUUGAACAUUGUUGGUACAAGAAAAUGUGGGGAUGGAGAUUAAGAGGAUUGUAAGCUGAUCGCUUGUAAAUACGUUCAGCUGUAUAGAAAUUUACUUUUCAAGACCAUAACAGCAGCUCAUAUCAAGCUUAUUUUGUUGCCACAAAUUAUAUGUUUUUGUACAUGUUCAUGAAUGGUAUAGUAAAUGUUCUUACUUAUUAUUCGUUUGGGUUAGUAAAUUUUCUUUCCUUAAUUGUGCUUCUUGUAGCUUGUAGUUUUUUUUUUUUGGAUACAUUAAUAGUGAUUGUAGUUGCUAGAGAAGAAUACUGAUGUUUUAUUCCUUUUACUUUUCCUAUAGCUGAAGCUUUACUGACUUUCAAUAGCAGAGUUGAAAGUCCUGAACUCUCCAGUGGUCAGACUGGAAAAUAUCCAUGUCUAAAACAAUGGACAUUACUGAAAUAUUAUAAACUGCAAGACCCUUGUGUUGUUUCUCUGUAAGAUCUCUCUCUCUCUCUCUCUCUCUCCCUCUCUCUCAUGGUGUUGUAUGUACAUUAAAUAUCAACAUUAUUGGAAUUAAAAACAUAUUACCGACUUCACCUGAUUAGAUGCUAGUGUUAUGAACUGGUUUGAGUUCUUGUGACCUGUAUAUUUUGGUGGUAAUGAUCAAUCAUGUAAUUCUAGGUCUUACUUCAAGAAUCCAUUUUAUGUUUCCUGUUUAACUAGUUACCUCAAACAAGUUUUACGUAGGCUCUAGUGGUCCCAAGUCUGGUGGCUACAUUGUAACAUCGUUUUAGUACAUAUCAAGUUUCUGAUAUCUGCAAAUGAUUACCAAAGAACGAUAUUCAUAUUGGUACAUUUUACUAGGUGUUGAAGUGAAAUACAAGUAGCUUAUAUUCAUAGCAAUGUUUUAAUCAAUUUUGGUUUUAUUUUUUAUUUUGACUUGGUUCAUCUUUUUCAUCACUCAGCAGCAAAUUUCCUGGUAUCUCUUCAAUUCCCCUGCGGCCUAGCAGAGUCAGCUUAGCACCAUUUGCUCCAAGACAUUUCGUGACACAGUCUUCAAUCAAUGUACAAAAAGAGAUCCAUAAACCCAGAAACAGAAGGAUAGCACACAUAGUUGAUGGGGACAGAAGUGUUCCAACACUCACACCUGUACAAGCAGCUGGUGACAAGAAACCAAAAAAGAAAGUUGCAGCCAUCAUUGGUGGAGUUGCUGCUGCUUUGCUUGUGGUUAUUGUAGUGAUACUUGUUUACAUCUAUUUAAUGCGUGUCAAAAGAGUGGUGAGGAGAACAUCUGAUACAUCAUCUUCUACACCAUCCCCCCAUGGUAAGUUAGCUAUGGGGACACUUUUCUUCUGCAUUCGUUUCUAAGUUGUACAUUCCAAACUGUUAAGGCUGUGAUAUGGCUAGCUGUGUAGUUAAGUAAAUAAGUUUCUUCUAUCUUUUCACUUCUUUCAGUUGAAUGGACAAGAGGGGACACAUCCCCCUACGCGGUUGCUCUAUCUCCAUAUGACACACACAACUUGAGGCAACUGACAAUAUUGGAACUGGAGCAAGCUACUAGCAAUUUCAAUGAAAACAAUAUCAUAGGCCAAGGCAGAUUUGGUUUGGUCUACAAGGGAUUACUCCAAGAUGGAACUAUUGUGGCUAUCAAGAGACGCCUACAUGCUCCAACUCAGUAUUUCUUUCAAGAGGUAAACAAGUUAGCAAUCAUUUCUUCUCCACUCAACCUUGACUUUCUUUGUGAGGUAGUGUCUAGACCCUCUUUUGAUGGAACUUCUUAGUAUCUUGAUUUGUCUUGAUCAAAUAUAGGUGAAGCACAUAGCUCGUGUGAACCACGUGCAUAUUCUCAGGCUCAUUGGUUAUUGUCAGGAUUCAAGUCAACAGUUACUUGUCUAUGACUAUCUUCCAAAUGGAAAUGUCGGGAAUCAUCUAUAUGGUACUCUCUCACUCACUAACUUACUCAUUCACUUAGCACAUGAUUCUCUAUCUCUAUCAUUCCAUCUAACCACAUUGUUAUGCAGAUGCUGAAGGUUUACCUAUUGGAAAGUUGAAUUUACGGCAAAGGUUAUCGGUUGCUUUGGGAGCAGCCAAAGGUACAUCAGCUAGUUCAACUUCUAGUGCAAGCCUUAAUUUAUGUUCUUCAUAAAUAUAUUACUUUUAUUUUGGACCAGGACUUGCACAUCUUCAUAGUUUGGUACCUCCCCUCCUGCACAUGAAUUUCAGGACAAGCAAUGUUCUUUUGGAUGAUAACUUUACAGCCAAGGUGUCCGAUUAUGGACUAACCAGACUGCUCAAUAAGGCUCCCUAUACCGGAUCAUCUUCAGCCAUAGACUGCUUUCUUGACCCAGAGUAUGUAAUCUCUCUUCAGUCCACUAAAUUAUUAUGUGAGCUACAAGAUAGAAUGCAGAUAGCAUCUCUUGGUCUCUGUCAGGCUAAAUUAUAUUACCAGAUCACAUAAUGUGUCAGAAUGACAUAUGCAAGGAAAACAAGAGUAAGAGUCCUCCACUAGUUAACUCACCGAAGAUUCUUGCAGGUCAUUUUUGCAUGCCAAGUGAUUUGUUUAGUGAAAUUAGCACCUAAUAUUGAUGUUGAUCACUUUACUGGAAGUCACCUAAUGCAUACCUCUAAUACUGAUACUACAGAAAGUCAUUUCGCGUAGGUUUUACCUUUUUCUUUUUGUAAAUUUAAACAUCUGUAACAGAGCAUAGAUGGAGUUCAACAAUGUAACUUGAUUGCCACUCUGUUGAUCUCAUGCUGUCAGCCCUUGAUUUUAUUUUGCUAUUAUAUAAGGCUAAGUUUCAGUCCAACAUUGAAUAGCUGUGACAUUCUUAGUGCCUUGUAACCAAAGUUGCUUUGAGUUUUGUUGAAUAUCCAUCUGUGAAAAGAAAUCUGCAGGGUUUAAGCAACAGCUUAAUUUGGUACUGAUGUCUAAUCUAAUCCUUUUUCCUAAAGGUUAGAUUCAUUGAACAAAUUUUCAGAAAGAGGUGAUGUGUACAGUUUUGGUGUCUUCUUACUGGAAUUGAUCAGUGGAUGUGAAGCAAAUGGCAGAUACCAGUUGAAUUCGGGGGAUAAUCUCGUAUUGCAGGUACGCAAGUCUUUUCAUAAAAGCCAUUAUUAGUGGCAACUUUAUAUCUCAGACUCUCAGUUUAUGCAUAUACUACUGGUUGCAACCUUUGUUCAGUUGUGAAAUUCGCAUAUGUACUAUUAAUGUGAAAAAGAGUAACUAGGUGAAGUACAUCUAUACUUGUACUUGUUUCAAAGCUUUCGGUUCUUACAAGAUUGUGUAUUAAUUUGAAGGCAAAGGAUUGUGAGGAUUUGGAGAGAUUUGUUGAUAAAACAUUAGGAGAAUAUUCAAUGCAAGCUGCAACAAAACAGAUGAUGGAGUUAGCAUUGAUGUGUAUAGAUGCUAGUGAACAAAGACCACACAUGAAGAUUGUUGUUCAAGAGCUCGAACGGAUUCAAGCAAGAGAAACUAGCCAUUUUCAAAUUGAAGUUGAUGAAGAAAUAGGUGCUGUAACUCUUGGCAGUGAACUUUUCAAAUGAUGCCUUCUGCUGUAACAGUCAUCUUUGCAUUUGCAUUCCAUUACAGAUUUGAUUGGUUUGUGAUUAGUACAGAAGAGAAAUAGAAUAUAUCAAAGCAUUCUUGAAGUAUAUAAAUCUAAUGAAAAUGGUACAGAUUGAUGGGACUAUCUGCCUCUGCUAUUUAACAAAGUCUCUUUCUGGGUUAAUGGUUAAUGUACAUGUUUAGCCCAAUUUCUGAAAGCUGUAAAUAUGCAGAGAAAGAAAGAAAAAACCAAGAAGUUUUUGGUUCUUACAAGCUGUAGUUGUAUAUUUCAAAUUAAAAAGAAAAAAAAAAGAAAAAAAAAAAGCUGUAAUUGUAGUAGUGUGAUACCUCUUAGCACUGUGCCGGGACCAGCUAAUAAUUCCUCUAGUACGAUGAGUUCGAUGAUAAGAUGCGUCAACAAGGCAAAAAACAAAAUACAAAAACUGCAUCAAAAAGAUACAUGCAUGAAAAUUAUUUUAUAGUAAAACUUGUAAUGAAAUAGUGUGAUAAAUGCAAUCUAAUCGUCUAUUCAUGUUGGUUUAAAUGCACUUUGCUGUGAACAUCUCUAGUCGGUCUUCCUCCAAUCUAAAUGCGCCUCCAUCAUUUUCUCUUCCUCUUUCUCGUACUCUUAAUUUCAUCUUUUGUUCUAAUUUCGUGAUCAAAUUUUAGAAAGCACGCCCUCCCACUUACAAAGGAGAGUCUACCUUGUGAUUCUUUUUCUGUGCAUGCAUACAGAAAAAAAAAUAUAUACAUUAAUGAAUAUAUUUUGGUGGAGAUAGUUUUUAUCCUUAACUGGAUUUUCUUCUCAUCAGCCAGUUCAUUAUUAAUGAACCGUGUCGCUUUCAUAUGUUCUGAGUUAGAAAAACAAGGCUGCAUUUUCUGCAUUUGCAAAAUACAUCUCCCACCUCAUUACUCAUUAGUUAUUCAAUAAUAUAGAACAAUGACAUUGUUUAUGAAAACAUAUAUAGUUCAACAUAUAGCUGGUCCAACAGCUACUGCUCAGCAAUUAUUCGUUCUCCCAAAGUUCAAGUUCUUCAACCAUAACAAUAUCAUUCUUCGAGGUAUUCUUCCAAGAUCAAUGACGAAGCAGCUUCGCUCCAAGAGCGGCAAACACUUCCACAGCGAAUGACAUCCUUGACACUUAAGUGAACAAAUAUCUGUGAAAUGAAAUCUUUCUCUAGCUUUACCCAAUUUCGGAACUUGGAGUUGUUAUUCGUCAUCGUAACAAAGGUACUUUUCCCUGCAACCAUCAUAGAUCAAAACCAGGUACUGUAUAAUAGUAUCAGAUUAAAUUAAGCAUUGAAUCGAAAACUCUAGUAAGUGACCAUUUUCUUCCAUAAUAUUAUACAAAUUAAGAGAACAAAUAGCAAAUAGUGAACCUCAUUUUGUUAGAUACUCUAGUAGUGAACUGACUGAACUCGAUCUUAAAACAGAAAAUUGACAAGAUUAGACGAUUUGAGUCAUGUCUAUCACUUCACGCAUGCCUUAGGUGAUAAACAAAUUCCAGACAACUUAACAGAUGUCCACUAUUUGAGUAUGUAGGAUACAGACUCACACACAACAUUUCAGAUGAAUGCUGAAACCUAUGAAUAACCUUCACUACAUGAUAAAUGAUAUAUAUGCAACAAAAUCUCAUGAGCAAUAAGGUAAGUCAAACUACUUGACUGUUUCAUCUAGUACCGCUUAUAAUUUACAUCUGCUAAACCACAAACAAUUUAAAGUCAAGGAGGCAAACUUAACAAGGGAGACUGCAUUUGCAUACACAAAAGGGUGAUCAAAACAAUAAAAGAAGAAGGCAGUAGUGGUUCUUUCUAGGUAAUUAUGUUAACUAUUUUUUCUGAAAGAAGAAACGAAUAAUAUAAAUAGGGUCACAGUAGUACUGAUGUUACAUAGCGCUUCCAAGCGUAAAUCUUUACUUUCAAGAACUCCAAAAUAGAAAACUUUUCUUGCUUCUAAUUUCAAUGACAAAAAGAUAGAUCAUGGUUCCCCUUCAAGCAAAGAGAUCACCGCCUAGUAGGAAACAAGAUUAACAUAAGAAGUGAAGUACAUAAGAAGGUAAUUUGCAGAACAAAACCAUAAAAGUACUCAAUCCAUAAUGGAUACAUUAUUCACUUUUACAGAAACAUAUAAGCUUCGAGAAUAUACUACAUCUGUUCCCUACGCAGUAUUGAUGCAUCAAGUAUAUAAGCUUUUCUGCAUCAAGUAUGAACUCACAAAAGUCCAUAACGGAAAGUUUAUUCAGUUAAACAACAGUGAAGCAUUGAAAGCGAAAUCGAAAUAUUAAUGAUGGUUCAUGAACAUAAUUUAUUAUGAUUUGAGAACAUUCUAAGAAAUUCGACAAAUAACUGGAAUUAAAUAUAUAAAAAAAAGAACAUUUGCGCUGUAUUAAAUGUUAGAAUCUUUUAGAAAAUUCCUGCUAUUUCUUCACAGAAGAAUAUAAUGGUUAUAUUUAAGUUGAUCCUGUCCUGACAUGAUAACAGCAUGUUGUUCUUCAUCACGAGUCAAAUAUAAUCAGAUGAUGGUACGAGAAUUAGAAACCAGAAUAAUCUCACUGAAAUCACUCAUGUCGAAAGCAGUUUAUUGGAAUAUGAGGAUCCUUGAUUAAUUUCCAAUUAAUCCACUUCAUGUUCAAAACAUGAUUGUGGGUAUAUUGGCUAUUCCUAUUCAACACAAGAUUUCCAAAAUACAAUAGGACUAAAGUGACAAGGUGACAUGAUUCGGAUUGAAUGUAAUUGAAGUUUUGCAUGAUCAGAGGUAUCAAACUUGAAAUCAGAAAUGCCUCUACAAGGUAACAGAUUUAAGCAUCUUGUUUAUGGUAAGUUGAUCCUUUCUCUGACCAAAUUAAGUAAGUAUCUUAAUGCUUGAUUUCUAAAUCAGAAUAGAAGAUAUUUUGGUUGAUAGGCAUUAAUUGAUCUCGCAAGAUUACAUGCAAGUCUAUGGUCUCAACAUGCGAGUCUUUAUUACAGUUAAAAUGAUGGAAGAUAACUGUGUGAAUGCUUGAUAAUAGCUGGUUGUAAUUGGAAUGUAAAUGUCAAUUAUCUGAUUGCAGGUUUCAAGCAAGCAUUAAUUUGUGCAAAGAUAUAAAUGUGAAAAUGUCUAAUUGCAGGUUUAAAAGCAAGAAUCAAUUUGAUAUUUUUGGAAAGUGCAAGGUGAUGGUUGGCAGAUUGCAUGAUUUCCAAAAUACAAAUUAAUUCUGUCAUUGAGUGCAUUAGUUGAGGGGGAGAAUUUCAUUCUCCAUAAAUAGCUACCGCUGAAGAUUGAAAGUUUCAAGCUUUUUGAACAUUAGGAAAAGGCCUUCAUAGUAUUGCCUCUGAGUCAAAAUAUUUCAUGAUAAUGUUCAUAGCGUGUUGAGAGAUUGAUAACUGAUUGACUGCUUCUCUUAUUUGCAUUGUCAGAUUGCACUUGAGAUUGGUGAUGCAUUAGUGAUCAAGGGAGAUAGAAGCAAAGAGUCACAACUAGUUAUGUUGAAGAACCAGCUCACAGUCUGAUAGUGAUAUAGUAUCAGCAAGCAUGAUUCAGUCUCUCGUGUGUGGAGAUCAUUUGAAGUGUGUGGAUCUGAAGAGAAGAAUUCUUGGUUGUGUUUAAGAACCAAGUGAUCUGGUUGUGUUGUAGAACCAGAAAAGAAAUCUGAUAGUGUUGAAGUAUCAGUUACUGGAUCUCAGUUUCUCUUGUGUAGAGUUACAUGAAUCUAUUCUCUUGUGUAGAGUGAGUGGUUGUGUUGAAGAACCAAGUAACCUGGUUGUGUUGAAGAACCAAGGAAUACUGAUUGUGUUAAGAAUCAGUAAACAAGAACUAAGAGUGUUUAAGUCUUAGUGUGGAACUAGUUGUGUUUAAGAACUAGUUGAACUGAAAGUGAUGUAGUCUCAAUACUCUAGAUUCAUUUUCUCUUUGUAGAGUUACAUAAAUUAGAGUCAUUUGUGUUGAGAUAGAGAAUUGUAACCAGAAGUGAGACUUGUGGUGUUAUAGUUGUGUGAGAACUAUACCUCUUGUAAACUUUGAUUUGAAGAUUGAAGUAAUAAUCUUGCUUAGUGCUUUUUCCCACAUUGAGGUUUUGCACCAAACCAUUUGAAAUAUAUUGUGUUGAUUAUCUUUGCCUACUUAAUCCAUUUUAGUUUCUACAAUGAUUUUUGAGAAAAUAGUAAGAACUACGGUAAACAUGCAUUUCACAGCAAUAUGUGAAUGAUCAAUGAUGUGAUACUUGUAUGAAGCAUUUUAAAAUACUUUUUAGAGCAUAUGCUUUUUCAAUGUCUAGUCGAAGAGUACCUCAUGCAUUACUGAAUUUAUUAAAUUUGAGUCAAGUUGUUGGAAAAAAAUUGUCAUAUAUCUGUGAGAUUCUAUUAUAAUCCUGAUAAUCUGAUAUGAAACCUUAAAUCUAGAAAAGUUUUUUUUUUUCUCAAAAAGAAUCUCAUGUAUUUGACAAUUAAUAAGAGUUGCGUGUUGAUUGUUUGCUUACCAAAGUUUCAGAACCUAAUAUGUCAGUGAAGCUUUUUAAAGAGAAGAACCACCCAUCAACAACAUCAUUCUUAUUAAAACAUCCAUCCUCUUCAAGAAAUCAAGGCCAAACCAACCCAAAUAAAUUUGUAUGGUAUAAAAAAGAAAUAUAAAACAAAAGAAAGCACACCAUUAACAGUUUACUCAGAUCUCACAUAAGAAACCAGCAAAUCAAGUAUAAUCAACAAAAAUAUAUCUGUAUCAAAUUCCACUUUUUUGAGCUUGAAUCCCAAAGUAAGGUAAAAGAAAGGUUACCUUCUCUUAGAUGUGUUUGGUGCUUUUAGUCUCUUAGGAGGUGUUUGGUAACACGGACAAGAUAGGAUUUCAAAUCCUAUCCUGAUAACACUUGACUAGAUUAGAUUUAAGAUAUCCAUCUCCUUUUCCUUUAUCAUGUUUGUUAAAUAAGAUUGAAAAUUAGAUAAGUAAAGGUUUUUAAAAAAGAAAAAAAUGAAUUGAGCUCGUGGCUCUAUAGAAAAUGUCCACCUCCGAAACGACGCCGUAUUGCCUCCGACGACGACGCCGCCGUUCUCCGCUGUCCGGCCACGCCUGUGCGCUAGAUCGGUCGCGUUUUGAUCGUCUCCUCCAACCCGUCAUGCCUGUGGUGGUAAAUCGGAAUGCAUCAGUGAAAGUAAAGGUUUCUAUUUUCUGGGCAGUUAUGCUCCGGCGAGCUAGGGUUUCCGGCGACGCUUCGGGCUGCUUUAGGACAACUCUUUAGAGGUAUCUGGGUUGAGAACGACUCCAUUGUUCAUCCGAAAUCGACUGGGUAAGCUACUCCUGCGUCGAUCGAUCCGAAGAACUCUAGAAGAAGAAACCCAGAUCCAUCUACAGUUCCUUAGAAAUAGAUCCAAAUCAUCCAAUCUCACCCUGCCCUUUUGUUUUUCUUCUUCGGCAGCAUGUUCUUGAGGAUGAGGGCGGCAGAGGUAGACGAGGGAGCCGCCGACGCGCUGGGCGUAGCGUUCUUGAGGACGCAGACGACUCGGCCGGUCUAAGAGGUUGUGAGUUGUGACGGCUGCGGUGGUGAGGGUGAUGAAAAAAUGGAGAUUUGAUGAGAAGCGUCGUUCGUUUGUUUCCGUCAUAUCCAUAUGGAUAAGAAUAAUAACACCUUCCCAGCAGGAUUUUAAAUCAAGGUUUGACAAGAUUAAAAAUUUCUGCUUACUUAAUAUCUGAAUGUCUAAACACAACUCCUAAUCAGAUUGGCAAGAAUAAAUCUUGUCAGGGGACCAUAUCCUGGUAAACAAACACCCCCUUACAGUUUGAGAUAACUCAGAAAUGAACCAGCUGAUCUGUAUAUAGGGGGCAGUCAGCUAAUGAAUUUACAGGAAGAACCUCAUCCAUCUGUAACAGCACACCAACCAUGCUAUAAAACCUUGAGAAAGAACCAACAGGAAUAUGCCAAUUCAACAUCUAAGGUUGUUUCAGUAACCUCUAACUGGAAAAAUAAAAAAAUUGGUUUCAAAGUGUCAUUCAACCCUGGAUGAUAUUUAACAGGAUUAAAAGAAAAAGGAAACUCCAUAAAUGUAAUCUCACAAACAUGCACGAAAACAAUUUAAAAGAGAGCGCAAUUUAAUCAACAUGCAUGUGUCUAUGAGCAUUGAGUGUACGAAUUCUGCAGUAGAUUUUCAUCGGAUUGGAUAUGUUUUCUUUCCAGUUCAGCAACAAUUGUCAUUUUUGUUAAUCAAAUUCAAAUUCAUUUCCUUUUAAUAUGAGCUAAUAACAGAUACGAUAUUGGGUCAAAUUAGUUAUUUUCCUAAAAUGGAUUCUCAUUCUCAUCUCUUGCUGCUGUAUUGUCUUUAAAAUGUUUUCUCUGUACGUGGAUAUAGCUGUUCUUCGCACUACAUUCCUCUUCUUAAUCAAGCGUGUUAGUGGUUUUUCUACUUAAAUUUUCUACGUCAAGUAAUGAUCAUCUAUGACCUACUUCUAUGGAACUAUGGAAGGUUUAAUUCAUAGAACAUAUCAGUUUUCUGCAAAUCCCAGAUUGUCUAUGAGGUCAAAGAACAAUAACUACGAAGAGAUUGUCGGUCUAGCUAGUCAAGGAAUUAAUUCUUAAUAUCCUAGAAUAAGAAAAGAAGCCUUUACAGAAAAUAUUUAACUUCACUUUAUAAAUCGGAAUCUGCAACAUGAAAGGAAAUUGUCUAUUAAAGAAAAUUUACAUCAUAGCAUGCACAACACCUACAGCUGAGAAAUUAUACUAACAAGGUCAGCAAUAACGACAAUGUGCCCCGUGACAUGUUAUCUCCUUAUCUAACUGGAUCAAUGGGCAAGGGUACUCACCUCAUCCUUAAAAAUGCCUUUAUCAUAUCGAGAACAGAGCCAAAUAUCCAUCUGAAUUAAUCUGAAAGGGCAAACUUGGGAGUAGCCCGUCUGACAAAAUAGAAACUUCUUUAGCCGUGAAGCCUCUUGAAGGAAUCACUCAUCAAGUUGGGAGAGCGCAGACAAAUAUCCGGGGAUCGGAGAUUAGUCCAAUAUGAGGUAGUGACAUGUAACUCUUCUAACUGCCGUGUUUCUCUGAGCAAGUGAUGUAUAACAUCCUUGUGCACCAUGUUGCACUCAAUACUUAAGACCUUCAAACUUGUAGCAUAUGCAAGAAUAUUCUCAACACAAUCCAUACCAAACGGGCACAGCAUAUUCAGCUCGCUGAGGUUCUUGCAGUGCUGACUAAUUGCCUUCAUGAAUUUAAUAGAAAAACUACCUAUAAUUGUCACAUCCCGACCCUUAUAUUUUUACCUUAUUUACUAGCUUAAUUAUAAUAAGAAUUUUACCGUCCCCAUCAUUAAGUUAAUAGUUUAAUUGGUCUCUAGAGGUAUUUUAAGGGACGAUUAAUUUCGGGGAAUUGUUCGUGGGAGAAAAUAUGACGACGGUAAAAAUGGUAAAUUUUUAUUCGGGUAUUAUUUUUCGGGGUGUUUUAUUUCGGAUUUGGGUGGUAUAAGAAGGUUGGACCGGGCCAAAGGGUGGUCAAGCCUAGCCCUCUUUUCUCUCUCUCUCCCUCCCGGUUUUCCCGCACCCGAACUCCCUCCCGCAGCCGAUCUUUCUGUCGCCGGCCAGCCGCCGUCCGGCCACCAACCGCCGCCGCACCGGUCCCGUUCGGUUGGCCAUCAACCCAGCAACCUUCUUGGACCGGUGACAGCUCCCCUAGCGUCGCCGUGAGGAAGAUAUCGGGCCCGAGAGGUCCGACUGUGUUAGGUUUCACGUCGCCGGAACUCCCUCCUCCGGCCACCAAUCCGGGCAAGCUUGGUACGGUUUUGUAGCCCUCCAACCCAGCAGCCUUGCCCUAAAAGGACUCACUCCCUCUUGAGCUAGGUAAGGAGAAAUUUGAGGUGGAAGUUUUAUGGCGUUUUUGAUGUUUUUAGUCGAUUACCCUAGUUAGGCUUGGAAUUAGUGUUUGUGCUAGUUAGGAAAGUUGUAGAGCAUGAUGAGAGGAUUAUUCUGUCAAAAUUUCAUAGGUUUUUGAGGUCGCCGGAAUUGGCCUCCGGCCGCCGCUGCCGGCGGAGCCGCCGCGGUUUGGGAGAUUUUUAGGGUUUUAAAUGUGGAAUAUUAAGGGGAUUAUAUUGAUGUGAUUUAUGGAAUUUUUGGAUGAGAUUUGAAUAGGUUUGUGAAUUUCCGAAGUUUGGUAUUUUUGGCGGUUAAUUAAUGUAGAAUCUGGCCGUAGGAUUUAAGUCGUAUUUUGGGGAGGUUGUAGUUACGACUGUCGAGUAUGAUAUUUUAGUUCGGAUCGUUUCGAUUUAAGAAUAUCGAAGUUAGGUAAUGAUGAGCGUAUUUAUGGCUCUCGGGUAAUUUUGCCUAUUUUGAUUAAAUAUUGGAUUAUUAGUUGGGAAAUUAAUAUUAUAUUUGGAACAGGACGUGAGGAGGCUCGAGCAGACGAGGCCCCAGAUCGACAUCAGGCUUAGGCCUAAUUUGUGAGUGGACUUUUGUUUUAAAUAAAAUGCAUGCUAGAGUUCUUGAUUGAACAAUAUUUGUUGCGGAAUAUUUUGACGUCAUUUUAAUUUGACGAAUUUUAUUUCUCUUGGAGAGUGACCGAAAAUGGGUUUUCGGUGGAUAUAAAUAUGUAUUUAUGAGAGAGUAUGUAUAUAAAAUGUUAGCUAGCCAUAUGUGUCUGUCCACCUUAAUGGCGUAGCAUAUAGCCGCAUUAUGGUGUGACGUGAGCGUUGGACGUGAGCGUAGUAGCCCUAUUUGAGUGUUUAAUUCAUAUAGGGGGUAUGGACACAUAUUUAUACACCCGUCUGUCCACCUUAAUGGCGUAGUGUAGCACCGCAUUAAGGCGUGACGUGAGCGUUGGACGCGAGCGUAGUAGCCCUAUAUAGACCCAUGAAUUUAUAUAGGGAGUAUGGACGAGUGUAAAUACAUACAUAUAUUAUAGAGUCUGAGAGGCUCGAUAUUUUAUGAGAUAAAAGUUUUAUCGCUUGCGGCAUGCAUUCGAUUUUUCCUUAGAAAUUAAUUUGGGGAAACAUAAAUAUUUUAUUUUAUUAUUUUAUUUUUGUCCACUCACUUUAACGUUAUUAAAUGUUUUCCCCUGGGCCCUUCGUUUUAAAUUGCCCAGUCUGCAGAGUUCGGGUUGGAUCUAGUAGGAGGCGUGGCAUAGUCACCCACAUUUCCGCCAGUUUUCAUCAGUAGGUUACAUGUUUAACCUACUCGUGUUUUCUUACUUCCGUUAGUGUCUAGUAGCUCUGAAUACUUUGGGAUUAUUGUAUAUUACGUUUAGAAUUUCUGAAGGAUAAUUAUGUGAUGUUUGGACGUGUUGUAUUAAGAGUGUAAUUUGGAAUUUUCGAGUUAAGGUUGUCCAUUUUCAAGGGAGAUUUUCUCAAUCUUUUCAGUAAAUUUUCCUUGGAGGUGGUCCCCGCACGACUUACUCCGGGUUUCAGGGUGAAAUUCGGGGUGGGUCGUGUCAAUAAUAGUCAAUGACUCAAGCUUUGGCCAUUUCUUUGUAGACUUGUAAAUAGACCGGAUCUUAAUUCGGGGACCCGCUCCGGAUAAAUGGUUUUUAAACGGGUUUGAAUCGAAAAUUUGAUUCGUGGAUCCGUUAACCCGUUUACUGAACGGAUUGAAUACGGAUCGAGGUUGAUCCGAUCCGUUAAGAACCUGGAUCCGUUUUAAAAUAAUUAAAUAAUAUUUUUAUAAAUAUAAUAUUACUGAUAAAUAUUAAAUAAUAUAAUAUUUAUUUAGAUAACCUAAACGUCUAAAUUGCGUCUAAAGUAUGAUUUGAUAAAGUUGAAGAUUACUGAUGCCUAUAUUUUUUUUUAUGCAUUUUGCUAAAAACAUUGGAGGUUUAGUAUUUUGGUUAUAUUAUAGUUUAUUGUUAAGGAGUAUUUUGGCCAUGUAAUUUAACUUUUGAUGUAAACCUUUAUUUUGUUAUAAUAUUUCAUUAGUGUUUUAUGAAAACUUAUGAUAAAAUUAAGAUUAUAAAUGGAUCGGAUUAACGGGUCGGAUAUCCGUUAACCCGCCGGAUCCAGAUUUGGAUCGAGCUAUCAAUAUUCUGACGGGUAACGGGUCGGAUCCAGAUCUAGGUCGAUCCGCUCCAGAUCCGGCCCAUUUACAGAUCUAGUUCUUUGCAGCUUCUUCAGAAUCAUUAACUAGUAUAAAUUUGUCCUGCACUGAUAGAACAAGGAUCUUUUGAGAUUUGGGGUUCUGUAAAAGAGAGAACUAGUCAAUUUACGUUUCAUCAAAUAACCUCUAUAGAACAUUUUGGGAAGUAUGAACAUUGACCUUUUAGAAAUAAGAAACAAGUGCGGACUUGUUAUCCGAGAGUAGGCGUGGAAGAUCAAGCAAGAUAUAGAUCCACCACAUAAUCUGGAACCGCUAUUGACAAUAUUCAUAAUCAUCUGGCUAGACUGCUCGCAUUGUCGAUUGAAUCGAAGAUCUUGAUUUCCAGCUUACUCAAGUCAACUACCUCCCAGAGGCAGGGUUCGGAAGCUGCUUCCCGCCAAGAUUUGCAAACAAAUGCCCCACGUAUUAAUUCCACAACAUUAAAUGUCAUGAAUAUACGUAUGAGUAUAUCCUUAUCCAUGUCUGCCCAUCUUUCAAAUCCUGAGUUUUUGUUUGUCGUCAUACUAGAAAAGAAGUGGCUGAAACCAUCAAUCAGAAGAAGAUACUGUGUAUAAGUGUAAAGAAUCAAUGAUUAAACUCAACCAUUGUUAAAGGAAGAAAAUAUGUUGCUGAUAUAUUGCUGAUUCGUUGCUGACGUGAUUGAUAGAUAGAUAGUCACUAUUGUGAUUAUAGGAGUGAAUGUAGGAUCUGGUUUAUUUGUAUUUAUUCCUUACCUAGAAUAACUUCUGGAACUUGUAUAUUAUAGCAUAGCUUUGUACGAUUGAGACUAUCUAAUAUACACUCAUUCACAUAUCAAUUUGUUUAUGGUAUCAGAGCACCGAUUCUGGUGUCUCUAACCCACUACUUCCGCUACAAACAACCCACUACUUUUGCCACAAACAAACACAAACAUCAUGGCUGAGGUCAUUGAAACCCCAGAACCACAAAACACCGAACUCAUUCCUUCAUCUAAAGACAAAGAUGUGAAUGAUUUUGACACACCCAACCCUUUGACCUUACACCCAUCUGAUACCACUACCAGGACAAGUACUUUAGCCGACGAAAUAUUUUCGUCGGCCUGUUAUCCUAAUUCGUCGGCUAAGACCUUAGCCGACGAAGGCUCGUCGGCUAUAGUGUCGUCGGGAAAGGGUCGUCGGUGAUGGCUUUAGCCGACGAAUCUAAAGACCAUCGUCGGCUAUUGUUCCAGACUUUAGCCGACGAACUAUUUUUCGUCGGCUAUUGUUCCAGCCUUUAGCCGACGAACAGUAUAUUCGUCGGCUUUACUGACAAACUUUAGCCGACGAAUAUCUCUGUUUCGUCGGUUAAAGUAUAUAAUUAAAAUAUUUAAAAAUAACUAUAGCCGACGACAUAGAGUCUGUUUCGUCGGCUUUAGUGGUGUUUAGCCGACGAAACAUACCAUAAUUCCGUCGGCUAAACCCUUUGGAAAAAAAAAAUUACUAUAGCCGACGAAUUGUGGCAUGUUUC
Molecule: long non-coding RNA, 16005 nt
Filed under: Fragaria vesca (wild strawberry)
Lineage: Eukaryota; Viridiplantae; Streptophyta; Magnoliopsida; Rosales; Rosaceae
Description: long non-coding RNA (FVES_LNC000955)
Source: RNAcentral